GAUGAACGCUAGCGACAGGCCUAACACAUGCAAGUCGAGGGGCAGCACAAGGAGCAAUCUGAGGUGGCGACCGGCGCACGGGUGAGUAACACGUAUGCAACCUGCCUGUAAGCGGGGGAUAACCCGUUGAAAGACGGACUAAUACCCUAUAACACAGGGGUCCCGCAUGGGAAUAUUUGUUAAAGGACAACCGGUUGAAGAUGGGCAUGCGUUCCAUUAGCUAGUUGGCGGGGUAACGGCCCACCAAGGCAACGAUGGAUAGGGGAACUGAGAGGUUUAUCCCCCACACUGGUACUGAGACACGGACCAGACUCCUACGGGAGGCAGCAGUGAGGAAUAUUGGUCAAUGGGCGAGAGCCUGAACCAGCCAAGUCGCGUGCAGGAAGAAUGUCCUAUGGAUUGUAAACUGCUUUUUGCAGGGGGAAUAAAGUGAGCCACGUGUGGUUUUUUGUAUGUACUCUGCGAAUAAGGAUCGGCUAACUCCGUGCCAGCAGCCG
RNAcentral lists this ribosomal RNA (497 nucleotides) under uncultured bacterium. RNAcentral describes it as "bacterial SSU rRNA". It matches the Rfam family "Bacterial small subunit ribosomal RNA", at positions 28 to 517 of the family's 1533-position model. The record is from RNAcentral.